RNAcentral lists this ribosomal RNA (405 nucleotides) under uncultured bacterium. Its description in RNAcentral is "partial 16S ribosomal RNA". It matches the Rfam family "Bacterial small subunit ribosomal RNA", at positions 28 to 526 of the family's 1533-position model. The record is from RNAcentral.
GAUGAACGCUGGCGGCGUGCCUAAUACAUGCAAGUCGAGCGAAGCGGGGACAGGUGAGUAACACGUGGAUAACCUCCUAUAAGACUGGGAUAACUCCGGGAAACCGGAGCUAAACCGGAUACUUCUAGCUUGAUACGCGCUGGAUUAGCUAGUUGGUAAGGUAACGGCUUACCAAGGCAACGAUGCGUAGCCGGACUGAGAGGGUGAGCGGCCACACGGGAACGGAGACACGGUCCAGACUCCUACGGGAGGCAGCAGUAGGGAAUCUUGCGCAAUGGGCGAAAGCCUGACGGAGCAACGCCGCGUGAAUGAUGAAGGUCUUCGGAUCGUAAAACUCUGUUAUUGGGGAGGCGGUACCUAAACAGAAAGCCACGGCUAACUACGUGCCAGCCGCCGCGGUAAUAC